GCAUUGGUGAGUUCAGUGGUAAAAUCCUCGCCUGCCACGCGGGGGGGCCGAGGUUCGAUUCCCGGCCAAUGCA
This is a non-coding RNA of Ciona savignyi (Pacific transparent sea squirt), 73 nucleotides long. NCBI's taxonomy places the organism in Eukaryota, Metazoa, Chordata, Ascidiacea, Phlebobranchia, Cionidae. The record is from Rfam.